Molecule: small nucleolar RNA, 106 nt
Organism: Elaeis guineensis (African oil palm)
Lineage: Eukaryota; Viridiplantae; Streptophyta; Magnoliopsida; Arecales; Arecaceae
Source: RefSeq, a predicted model, not a curated record
CAGCAUGGUGAAGAUAUUUUCUAAUAAGGUCCUUUAAUCUCUCCCAUGUUUCAUGAAACAUUUCUUCAUCUAAUUGAGAAAAAUUAGUUAUGGCUUUUCUUAUUUG